AUACGGAGGAUCCGAGCGUUAUCCGGAUUUAUUGGGUUUAAAGGGUGCGCAGGCGGCCAUUUAAGUCAGCGGUUAAAUCGUGGGGCUCAACCCCAUUCUGCCGUUGAUACUGGGUGGCUUGAUUGCGGUCGAGGUUGGCGGAAUUCGUUGUGGAGCGGUGAAAUGCAUAGAUAUGACGAAGAACACCGAUUGCGUAGGCAGCUGACCAGACCGCAAAUGACGCUCAUGCACGAAAGUGCGGGGAUCGAACAGGCUUAGAUACCCUGGUAGUCCGCACAGUAAACGAUGAAUACUUGUUUUCGGCGAUAUAAUGUCGGAGGCAAAGCGAAAGCGAUAAGUAUUCCACCUGGGGAGUACGCCGGCAACGGUGAAACUCAAAUGAAUUGGCGGGG
RNAcentral lists this ribosomal RNA (392 nucleotides) under uncultured bacterium. RNAcentral describes it as "partial 16S ribosomal RNA". It matches the Rfam family "Bacterial small subunit ribosomal RNA", at positions 523 to 918 of the family's 1533-position model. The record is from RNAcentral.